Molecule: non-coding RNA, 106 nt
Organism: Acanthosepion pharaonis
Lineage: Eukaryota; Metazoa; Mollusca; Cephalopoda; Sepiida; Sepiidae
Source: the annotation of a GenBank genome assembly
AAAUCACGCUGAAAACACCAGUUCAUGAUCGUUCACCGAAGUUAAGCAGCGUUGAGACUGUUCAGUACUUAUAUAGGGGACCACAUGGGAACACCUGGUAGUGUAA